RNAcentral lists this ribosomal RNA (274 nucleotides) under Triticum aestivum (bread wheat). RNAcentral describes it as "partial small subunit ribosomal RNA". Lineage: Eukaryota; Viridiplantae; Streptophyta; Magnoliopsida; Poales; Poaceae. The record is from RNAcentral.
GGCUGGUUGGCGCAGUCGGCAGUUGGUUGGUUGGCGCAGUCGGCAGCCGGACGGGGAGCCGGCAGGAGCGGCCGGGCAGUCGGACUAAGGGGCUUUGCUAGCCCCGAUGUCUUGAAUAAUUGUCUUGCCGUCUUCGGGGUACCCGUCGCCCAUUACUCCGACAGUAGCCCCCAAGCCUCCGGGCAACUUGGCAAAGUUGGGCGGAGGUUUUUUGGCGAGUGUUCAUGGAAAUGAUCAUAAAAAAGACAAAGUUAGUCCACGUAGAUAUAUCAAA